Molecule: transfer RNA, 73 nt
Filed under: Macleaya cordata
Lineage: Eukaryota; Viridiplantae; Streptophyta; Magnoliopsida; Ranunculales; Papaveraceae
Rfam family: tRNA
About the family: Transfer RNA (tRNA) molecules are approximately 80 nucleotides in length. Their secondary structure includes four short double-helical elements and three loops (D, anti-codon, and T loops). Further hydrogen bonds mediate the characteristic L-shaped molecular structure. tRNAs have two regions of fundamental functional importance: the anti-codon, which is responsible for specific mRNA codon recognition, and the 3' end, to which the tRNAs corresponding amino acid is attached (by aminoacyl-tRNA synthetases). tRNAs cope with the degeneracy of the genetic code in two manners: having more than one tRNA (with a specific anti-codon) for a particular amino acid; and 'wobble' base-pairing, i.e. permitting non-standard base-pairing at the 3rd anti-codon position.
Source: Rfam by way of RNAcentral
GGGGGUGUAGCUCAUACGGCAGAGCGCUCGCUUCGCAUGCGAGAGGCACGGGGUUCGAUUCCCCGCACCUCCA